RNAcentral lists this ribosomal RNA (748 nucleotides) under uncultured Parvimonas sp. RNAcentral's name for it is "bacterial SSU rRNA". The stretch from base 6 to 522 matches the Rfam family "Bacterial small subunit ribosomal RNA", at positions 33 to 541 of the family's 1533-position model. Lineage: Bacteria; Bacillati; Bacillota; Tissierellia; Tissierellales; Peptoniphilaceae. The record is from RNAcentral.
AUUGAACGCUGGCGGCAUGCUUUACACAUGCAAGUCGAACGGCAGCGGGGUAGUGCUUGCACUACUGUCCGGCGAGUGGCGAACGGGUGAGUAAUAUAUCGGAACGUACCGAGUAAUGGGGGAUAACCAAUCGAAAGAUUGGCUAAUACCGCAUACGUCCUACGGGAGAAAGCGGGGGAUCGCAAGACCUCGCGUUAUUCGAGCGGCCGAUAACUGAUUAGCUAGUUGGUGGGGUAAAGGCCUACCAAGGCGACGAUCAUUAGCGGGUCUGAGAGGACGAUCCGCCACACUGGUACUGAGACACGGUCCAGACUCCUACGGGUGGCAGCAGUGGGGAAUUGUGGACAAUGGGGGCAACCCGGAGCCAUCCUUGUCGUGUGUAUGAAUAGGCUUUUGUGUUGUAAAUUACUUUUGUUGGGAAGAAUUGGGAAUGUGCUAUGCUGUUUGUGUCUGACGGUUGUUAUUUAAUAGGACCGUGUACCUUCGUGUGCGGUGGCCUGUGUAUACGUAGGGUGUGAGGGUGUGUGUGUAUUUGUGGAGUGUAUGUUAUGUUGUAUGCUUUUUGUUGUGUGUGUGUGUUCUCUUGGCUUUAUUGGUUUUUUUUGUGCUGUGUUGACUUUGUUUGUGGUGUUUGGUGUUGUGCUGUGUUGUUUGUGUUGUUUUUUUGUGUUGCUGAAGUGUGCUGCUGUGUCGACGUGCGAGUGUUUUGUGGUGUGUGUGUGUGUGUGUGUGUGCAUAUGAUGGAUUU